UCUUCCGACUCGGGAGGACGUAAAAGGGGAUUUCGGAGACGACCGAUCGGAGGAGGCGAUGGCGGAGGAGAAGGGGAAGACGGGGAGAGACGAACUCGCACAGUCGUUAGAGGAUGUCUUCAUUAACGUCUCCACCAUGAUCAAGAGCGAGCUUCAGGGUACAAAUAAUCAACUCUUGCUUCUGGAGACAAUGAACCAGAGAGUAGCUGAGGAAUACGAUGGCUACGGAGAUGUUGCAUCCGGUUUAAGACUCUUGAGUACGCCCAGCAAAUUGAGAAGAUAGACCAGCAGGUUACUGAGUUUGAGGCUGUUGUAUCGAAUAUCGAUGCUUGAUAAAUAUGUUUCUUUGUUGGAAAACAAACUGCAAUCUGCAUUACUUCAUGAUAUAAAGAAACUACAAUCUGCAUCUCUUCA
This is a long non-coding RNA of Musa acuminata AAA Group (dessert banana), 414 nucleotides long. RefSeq lists it as uncharacterized. The transcript is spliced from 2 exons. NCBI's taxonomy places the organism in Eukaryota, Viridiplantae, Streptophyta, Magnoliopsida, Zingiberales, Musaceae. The record is from RefSeq and is a predicted model, not a curated record.